Molecule: long non-coding RNA, 769 nt
Organism: Papaver somniferum (opium poppy)
Lineage: Eukaryota; Viridiplantae; Streptophyta; Magnoliopsida; Ranunculales; Papaveraceae
Exons: 3
Source: RefSeq, a predicted model, not a curated record
GCCACUCUCAAAACACACCACGGAUCUCGAUCGAUCAUGGCCUGUGAUGUUGAUGAUCUUCAACAUAAACAGCAAGACACUCAGCAUUAUGAUAUAUUCUCUCAAUCAUAAGUAGUUGCUCCUGGUCCUGUAUUGUUUUUCUCAAACCUUGAUUCAGUUGUGGAAUUGCUUUUGAUUAAGUGUCCAGCUGAUAGAGAGUUCUCUUACUGCAAUGAGAAAUUUGAAACAUCGGAGGAAUUAUCGGAACAUAAAGAUUACAAGAAUCAUUAUGAAGUAUUCCAACGUGAACAUAAACUUUUGGUGAAUCAUUCAAAAAUCCAAAAAGAACUUGACCCUCAUCAACGGAGGUGGCACUAAGCCCAAGGUUGAUGGAAGGUUAAUCUUAUAUAACCAGAACUCCAGAAGAGGAUAAUAUGUUAGCCAAGUUUGAAUGAAGGACCAAUAAAAGGAAACAAAUGGGAACAUUGGCAAAAGCCUGAGAGGAGAAGAGGUAACUAUCUUAUUCACUUCAUUACCUUUGUGGUGUUGAUGUGGGUCUAUGAUUUUUCAGCGAAAAGAUGAAAAGUGGGAAACUUUGAAAGCACAAAAAUGAUAAAGUCCUUUGAUUUUAGUUAUGCCCAACUUUGUGGACGUUGUGGUUGUUUGUAUAAUUGAAUCCUUCACCUUCAUAUUCUUAAUGCAGCUUAGCUAAUUUCUAUAGGUGAACAGACAAUCAUUUUUCCAUGUGUGCUGGUUUUCAUUUUGUGUAGUUAUAUAGGUAGUAAAAGUG